RNAcentral lists this transfer RNA (73 nucleotides) under Felis catus (domestic cat). It matches the Rfam family "tRNA". From Rfam's summary of the family: Transfer RNA (tRNA) molecules are approximately 80 nucleotides in length. Their secondary structure includes four short double-helical elements and three loops (D, anti-codon, and T loops). RNAcentral also lists the same sequence under 3 other names. The record is from Rfam by way of RNAcentral. Lineage: Eukaryota; Metazoa; Chordata; Mammalia; Carnivora; Felidae.
GCCUGGCUGGCUUAGUCAGUAGAGCACGCGACUCUCGAUUUCAGAGUUGUGAGUUCAAACCCCAUGUUGGGUA